CAAAAACAUCCAAAAUCAUUUGAUGUCCAUGGUCGAGUCAUAUUAAACACCGAGUUCCUGCGUGCCGUUACCAUAGAGUAUCAAUCGCUCGAACUUACGGUAACGAGUACACGGUGCCAGAAUAUAUGCUCGAGUGGGUGAUAGGACUGUCACCGAGUGUCGAGGGAAAAUCAUGGGAGGGUUGUACACAUAUGUAUAUUCCAGCGUGCAUCAAUAAACACUAUGUUACGCUGGAGAUCGUUUUUGCUGACUCGAUUGUGCAUUAUCUAUCGACCAAUAAACCAUGCUCGAGCUUGCUUGCGAUCGUUUCGAAGAAUUCCCACUUCGCAAGUAUGUUCCCGUGAAUACUUGCGAAUUAUGAAGCGCUCAUUCGUGUCCAUCUUAGUUGCUCUCAAGCGCCAAUUGCAACUGUUUUCGACGCAGGCAACUGUCAACAAUGACUUGUUUGAUUUCUUUACCUUGAACUCAAAGUUAUAUUUUAAUGCCAGCCGGUGCACAGCGGCCUGCAAAUAUUUCUUGGUUUCAAACAGUUGUUUGACAUGCAAGUCCUCAUCAUCGGGAGCCACACGGGAAGAAUUGGAGGACGGUCCACUUGUUCCAACCUGUGAGCUCCCACCUAGCUCAUGUCUUUGUCGGGAUAAAGCAAUCAAAUUCUCAUUUGUAAACUCAUUUAUAUUCUCGUUGUCUUCAACUGUCGACGGAAUUCUAUGCGUAAUAGCGACAUCACGAUUAGGAGCAACUAUCUCUGGAAUAACCACAUCAUUCGCAGGAACUAUCUCCACUGUCUCCCAAAAACCUCGGUCAUUAUUAUCCGCCCUAUUUGAAUCUUCGCGUUCACCUUCGAUAACAUCCUUUUUAACUAAAGUCACACCAAGAGUAGUCGGAGUCCGAUGUGUUUUAUUCAAUUCUAAUAGAUAAUUCAAUUCAGCAUCAUUAGUAACAACUACCGGUGGAAUCGGAAUGGACGAAUCCCUAUAACCGUUGAAUAGAUAUCUCAAUUGUAUGUCGUAUUGAGAUUGAUCG
RNAcentral lists this long non-coding RNA (1023 nucleotides) under Olea europaea subsp. europaea. Lineage: Eukaryota; Viridiplantae; Streptophyta; Magnoliopsida; Lamiales; Oleaceae. The record is from RNAcentral.